AUCCAACUGACGAGUCCAAAGUAGAAGGAAGCGCGUGUCCUGAAU
Molecule: non-coding RNA, 45 nt
Filed under: Schistosoma mansoni
Lineage: Eukaryota; Metazoa; Platyhelminthes; Trematoda; Strigeidida; Schistosomatidae
Source: RNAcentral